Molecule: ribosomal RNA, 547 nt
Filed under: uncultured bacterium
Lineage: Bacteria
Description: partial 16S ribosomal RNA
Rfam family: Bacterial small subunit ribosomal RNA
Source: RNAcentral
UGGGGAAUUUUGGACAAUGGGCGCAAGCCUGAUCCAGCCAUGCCGCGUGCGGGAAGAAGGCCUUCGGGUUGUAAACCGCUUUUGUCAGGGAAGAAAUCUUCUGAGUUAAUACCUCGGGAGGAUGACGGUACCUGAAGAAUAAGCACCGGCUAACUACGUGCCAGCAGCCGCGGUAAUACGUAGGGUGCAAGCGUUAAUCGGAAUUACUGGGCGUAAAGCGUGCGCAGGCGGUUUUGUAAGACAGAGGUGAAAUCCCCGGGCUCAACCUGGGAACUGCCUUUGUGACUGCAAGGCUUGAGUGCGGCAGAGGGGGAUGGAAUUCCGCGUGUAGCAGUGAAAUGCGUAGAUAUGCGGAGGAACACCGAUGGCGAAGGCAAUCCCCUGGGCCUGCACUGACGCUCAUGCACGAAAGCGUGGGGAGCAAACAGGAUUAGAUACCCUGGUAGUCCACGCCCUAAACGGUGUCAACUGGUUGUUGGGAAGGUUCCUUCUCAGUAACGUAGCUAACGCGUGAAGUUGACCGCCUGGGGAGUACGGCCGCAAGGUU